Molecule: ribosomal RNA, 555 nt
Filed under: Methanosarcinales archaeon
Lineage: Archaea; Methanobacteriati; Methanobacteriota; Methanomicrobia; Methanosarcinales
Description: bacterial SSU rRNA
Rfam family: Bacterial small subunit ribosomal RNA
Source: RNAcentral
UGCGCUUUGGGAGGGUCUCGCGGCCUAUCAGCUUGUUGGUGAGGUAACGGCUCACCAAGGCAUCGACGGGUAGCUGGUCUGAGAGGACGAUCAGCCACACUGGGACUGAGACACGGUCCAUACUCCUACGGGAGGCAGCAGUAAGGAAUAUUCCGCAAUGGACGAAAGUCUGACGGAGCGACACCGCGUGGAGGACGACACCUUUCGGGGCGUAAACUCCUUUUCUGAGUGAAUAAGUUCUGAAAUUAACUCAGGAAUAAGUGACGGCUAACUACGUGCCAGCAGCCGCGGUAAUACGUAGGUCGCAAGCAUUAACCGGAAUUAUUGGGCGUAAAGGGUCCGUAGCCGGAAAAGAAAGUCUGAUGUUAAAACACGGUGCUCAACACCGUGAUCGUAUUGGAAACUUCUUAUCUAGAGUUAUUCAUAGGUGCGUGGAAUUUCUUGUGUAGGGGUAAAAUCCGUAGAUACAAGAAGGAACACCAAAAGCGAAGGCAGCGCACUGGGGAUAUACUGACGGUCAGGGACGAAAGCGUGGGGAGCGAAGAGGAUUAGAUA